RNAcentral lists this long non-coding RNA (482 nucleotides) under Androctonus crassicauda. The record is from RNAcentral. Lineage: Eukaryota; Metazoa; Arthropoda; Arachnida; Scorpiones; Buthidae.
CCUCAAAGUGUACCCUAUUUUGUACUCCUACUGUUGUCUAACUAAUUUCAUUAGGUUUGAAAUUAGUUAAACGAUGGGAAAGUGAGGUGGAAAUUGAUUUCCUGGACAUAUGAAUUAAGAUAAUAAGAGGAGAAUAUAGUCUCAGCAUUUUCCACAACGAUAGUUAUGCACUGUUAUUCAUACUGGCAACAUCACAGGAACCAUGAUCAUACAAAAUGGCCAUGUUACAAAGGUUGGGUACUCACUGCACAACAUACCAAAGCCAAAUGGAAGAACUACAGUGGAUUAUAAAACAAGUUGUGAAACAUGGAUACAACGAGAAUUUGAUUUAAAUAUGUGGAAUAAACUAUCUAGGAGAAUUGACAAGAAUAAUAAUCCAGUAGAUAAUCAUCUUAAGAAGUUUAUUAAUGUGGAGAUCAACUCAAUUACCUUGAAGUACAGACAUAAGAUUGAAAAAUACACUAACUCACACUUAGUCUUCA